RNAcentral lists this ribosomal RNA (1440 nucleotides) under uncultured organism. Its description in RNAcentral is "SSU rRNA". It matches the Rfam family "Bacterial small subunit ribosomal RNA". The record is from RNAcentral.
AGCUACAGGCUUAACACAUGCAAGUCGAGGGGCAGCAUGGUCUUAGCUUGCUAAGGCCGAUGGCGACCGGCGCACGGGUGAGUAACACGUAUCCAACCUGCCGUCUACUCUUGGACAGCCUUCUGAAAGGAAGAUUAAUACAAGAUGGCAUCAUGAGUCCACAUGUUCACAUGAUUAAAGGUAUUCCGGUAGACGAUGGGGAUGCGUUCCAUUAGAUAGUAGGCGGGGUAACGGCCCACCUACUCUUCGAUGGAUAGGGGUUCUGAGAGGAAGGUCCCCCACAUUGGAACUGAGACACGGUCCAAACUCCUACGGGAGGCAGCAGUGAGGAAUAUUGGUCAAUGGGCGAGAGCCUGAACCAGCCAAGUAGCGUGAAGGAUGACUGCCCUAUGGGUUGUAAACUUCUUUUAUAAAGGAAUAAAGUCGGGUAUGCAUACCCGUUUGCAUGUACUUUAUGAAUAAGGAUCGGCUAACUCCGUGCCAGCAGCCGCGGUAAUACGGAGGAUCCGAGCGUUAUCCGGAUUUAUUGGGUUUAAAGGGAGCGUAGAUGGAUGUUUAAGUCAGUUGUGAAAGUUUGCGGCUCAACCGUAAAAUUGCAGUUGAUACUGGAUAUCUUGAGUGCAGUUGAGGCAGGCGGAAUUCGUGGUGUAGCGGUGAAAUGCUUAGAUAUCACGAAGAACUCCGAUUGCGAAGGCAGCCUGCUAAGCUGCAACUGACAUUGAGGCUCGAAAGUGUGGGUAUCAAACAGGAUUAGAUACCCUGGUAGUCCACACGGUAAACGAUGAAUACUCGCUGUUUGCGAUAUACUGCAAGCGGCCAAGCGAACGCGUUAUGUAUUCCACGUGGAGAGUACGCCGGCAACGGUGAAUCUCAAAGGAAUUGACGGGGGCCCGCACAAGCGGAGGAACAUGUGGUUUAAUUAGAUGAUACGCGAGGCACCUUACCCGGGCUCAAAUCGCAGAUGAAUUACGGUGAAAGCUGUAAGCCGCAAGGCAUCUGUGAAGGUGCUGCAUGGUUGUCGUCAGCUCGUGCCGUGAGGUGUCGGCUUAAGUGCCAUAACGAGCGCAACCCUUGUUGUCAGUUACUAACAGGUUCCGCUGAGGACUCUGACAAGACUGCCAUCGUAAGAUGUGAGGAAGGUGGGGAUGACGUCAAAUCAGCACGGCCCUUACGUCCGGGGCUACACACGUGUUACAAUGGGGGGUACAGAGGGCCGCUACCACGCGAGUGGAUGCCAAUCCCAAAAACCUCUCUCAGUUCGGACUGGAGUCUGCAACCCGACUCCACGAAGCUGGAUUCGCUAGUAAUCGCGCAUCAGCCACGGCGCGGUGAAUACGUUCCCGGGCCUUGUACACACCGCCCGUCAAGCCAUGGGAGCCGGGGGUACCUGAAGUGCGUAACCGCGAGGAGCGCCCUAGGGUAAAACUGGUGACUGGGGCU